Molecule: long non-coding RNA, 2190 nt
Filed under: Homo sapiens (human)
Lineage: Eukaryota; Metazoa; Chordata; Mammalia; Primates; Hominidae
Description: non-protein coding lnc-CYP3A43-1:5
Source: RNAcentral
GGUUCAGGCCUAGGCGCGGGGCAGGACGGGACCGGGCAAGCAGUUAAGAAGGGAAGAUGAACAUAAAGUAGGGAAGAGCAAAAAUGAGUUGGAACCUAAGACACGAGCUGGUCAUUCUUUCACUGUCUCCAACUUUAAAGAUAUGAGUAUCCUUGCUAGAGGAGCUGACACUUUUUGCCACAGGACUAGACACACACACAGCUCAGGAAUCAAAAAAGGUGAAGGAAGACUCAGGGAAAAGCUUCUGCCCCAUCCCAACAAGGUGAACCAGCUGAUUGGUGACAAAGUAGAUGAGCCGCAGUAGCACCUAGUGUCCCUGCACCACCGUUUCAAGUAUAAAACUGGAGGGAUGCUUCAGUUCUCCCCUUCAAGACUUACACAACCAUGUCUCUGUUGGGCUAUUCUAACCAGAAACAAAAGGAAAGGAAAUUCUGGGAAACAUAGUUUAGCUUAGCAAAGUUGAUAUAUUACAAAAUUACCACUGUCCACUCUGCAUCGAGUUGACAUCCAUACAGACCUCUUUAAAACACACUUUCAAAAUAAAGUCCACACCCUACACAUAAGCUAUCUCUAGAGAAAUUUGAAGUCUGUUGUGCACUGAGGAUAACCACAACAACAAACUGUAAACCUAGCCCAAUUUCUGACUAGACUGAUACCACCGAACCACUGCUAUGCACUCAAGAGCACUAAAGGCCUAGCAGAAGGAAAGACACACUCAUCUCCAAGCAUAAAAACAAUCUUUACUUCAUACUGUGAAGAGAGAAUUGAAAAAAUAAUUUAAGCAAAAAAAAUACAACAUGACUAACUUUUAACAGAAAGAAAAAAAGACGCAUACAGAAAGGCAAGAAAAAACACAGUCCAAAGAGAUAAAACAAUCAUUAGAACCAGAUUCAUAAGACAUAGACAUUAGAAAUAUGAGAGAAUUUUAAAUAACUGUGAUUAAUGUGAUGAAGGCCCUAAGGGGAAAGGUGAACAAAAUGCAAGCUCAGAUGGGUGAUUUUAGCAAAUAGAUGGAAACUAUCAGGAAAAAUAAAAUGGAAACUAUAAAAAUAAAAAAUAUAAUAAUAGAGAUGAAGAAUGCCCUCCAUGGGCCCAUUAGGAGACUGAACACAGUUGAGGAAAAAAUCAGACUUGAAGGUAGGUAAAUAGAAAUUGCUGAAACACACACACACACACACACAAAAAGAGUGACAGAAACAGAACACAGCAUCCAAGACUGGUGGGAAAAUAUCAACAUCAAAUCAAGAAAUAGGCGCAGUGGCUCACCCCUGUAAUCCCAGCACUUGGGGAGGCCGAGGCAGGCAGAUCACGAGGUCAGGAGAUCGAGACCAUCCUAGCUAACGCAGUGAAACCCCGUCUCUACUAAAAAUUCAAAAAAAUUAGCCGGGCAUGGUAGCAGGCACCUGUCGUCCCAGCUACUCGGGAGGCUGAGGUAAGAGAAUUGCGUGAACCCGGGAGGCGGAGCUUGCAGUGAGCUGAGAUCACACCACUGCACUCCAGCCUGGGCGACAGAGCAAGACUCUAUCUCAAAAAAAAAAAAAAAAUCAAGAAAUAAUGGCUGAGAAUUUCCAAAAUUUGUAAGACACCAAACCAAUCCAAGGAGCUCAGAGAACACAGAGCAGGAUAAAUUCUUUAAAAAGAAACUAAGCUUAUUGUAUUCAAACUAAGCUUAUUGUAUUGAUACCUGGUAGUUAUAACUUACCAAAUACACUGCCCAACAUCUCCAGAUGAUCUAUUAUUUCUGAAAGUUUCCUUUAUUACAUUUCUUACUUCAGGGAGAUAUAGCCUUCGCUUCAUGUUAUGGUUGGUGCAGUCAGUAUUCUCAGAAAGAAAGUACUGGUUCCAUUUUACCUCCAUCUUUUGUUUCCUGUCAGAAAACCUACCAUACCACCAAGUACUCCUUCUCUACACUGCCUCUGAUAUUUAAGUAAUUUGAGAAUUCUGUUGAGACUAUCUCCCUUUUUUGGUAUGAUGAAUCUGGUCCUAAAUUGCAUGCCAAAGACUUUGAGAACUAAACUGUAGACCCAGAUCUCAUGUCCCAGACUGGCCUUUUGUUACCCACACAAUGAAUGGGUUAAAUUGCUUGGCAGGGGACAGUCCAAUGACCACAACCAAGGAGGAUUUCCCAGGGGGAUUUUAUUACUUGCGAUAAGUAAGGAGGACACUGGGAAUAAUUCCCCAAAGCAAUGC